Molecule: long non-coding RNA, 1707 nt
Organism: Neopsephotus bourkii (Bourke's parrot)
Lineage: Eukaryota; Metazoa; Chordata; Aves; Psittaciformes; Psittacidae
Exons: 2
Source: RefSeq, a predicted model, not a curated record
GAGGACAAUCACAGCUUGUCAGUGAGAACCAUGGAGCUAUGGGCUGGGGUUUGCUGGUUUGCCUGCCUGGGCUCUUAAGGAACCAGCUCAUAAGGGGCAGGGAAACUUGGCUGCCCAAAAUGUUGCAUGGCCAAGGAGCUGGCAAAACUGGAUUUGCUGGUUUGGGAUGAGGAUAAAGCCAAGCGUUUGCAGCUGUCAUCUGGGCCAUGGAUUGUGGUGGGGGCUGCAAAGGAUGCUGGAGACGUCCCCUCAGGUGGGAGCACAGGGGAGCCCUAGUGCCAAGCUUGGGGUCCACCUCCGUGUACCUCUGUUCACCUUGUGCCUUUCCUACCUGCUCAGACCUAAGCAGCGAAGGCACAAGGCAGAGGCAUACCCCAUGGGUUUAGGUCUGAACACACACUGAGGAAGCUGUGGAGCAGCUUUGGUGAGCAGGACCAGAGAGAGCUCAGGGUAUCAGCUACACCUCCUGCAUCUUCCCAGGGGCUGCCUUUUCUUUUGUUAAUGUUUGAUUAUUUUUAACGAUUUAAGAUUAAAAUGUAAUUAUUUUCAAUCAGUAGUUACACUUCUUAAUUACAAAGAUGAAUUAGAUUACUGUUUGUUAUUAAUUAGAUUUUAACUUUGCACUGAUUCUGCCUUUUAUCAGUCACUUCCCAUACUCCUCCUCUCCCCAUCCAACCUAUCUCUCCCCCUAUGCUUCCUCAAACCCCACUGCUUCCCACUGCCCUGCAGGGGAAACUUGUCUAGAAAAUACAAAUCAAUGUUAUCUGCUCUUUUAAAAGCCCAAAUACCAACCAGAUGAUGCAAUUUUUGGCCAAAAAACCAUGAAAAGAAACCAUUAAUAUUCUGCCUCCAUCAAUGGCUGGAACAGAAACUUUCCCUAUUACCUGCUGCGGCAUGGGAACAAUCCCACUCUUCCCUAUGUGCAGAAGGGAUCUGGUCCCUCACCCCUGCUGCAUUCCCUUUGCUUUAGUUUGCUUUUUGUGGACAAGGCGAUUUCCUGGGCUUUGUUUGGUCCUUCUGUUUUUAAAGCAAUCUUCUUUCUCUCCUUUCCAUCUAUCACCCUUCAGGCACCUCAUCAAUGCUUGCUGCUGCUCUCAGCUUUCCUGCUCGCUGCUGUCUCUAUCUCCCUUCUCUCAUCACUGUGUCCCUGAGGGAGGUCUCCUUUCUACCGGGGCUUCCUGGGACCCCAACCCCUGCUGUCUAUUGACUCAUCCCCCUUUAAUUUGAAGUGGUGCUGUAAUGUGCACCUACUCCCAGGGGUUAAAGUGUGCUUCGUGCACAUUUGCCCUGAGAUUUCUUGGUCUGCCUCUGUCAUCCUCCCUUUGCUGCUUCCCUGGGCAGUGGGCAGUGGGUGUUGCUUGGUUGGGCACAAGUUGUGGUCCUGUUUGAUGGGUUUUCUUGUGGAGGUCACAGACUGCUUUUACCCCUUUUCCUGCUGUUUCAGGGGGUAGAAAGUGCACAGGGCCUCUUCUGAGAUGGAGAAGAGAAAAUCAAAUGGUGGGAUCCAGGGAGAUGUUUUCAUCCCUGAAAAGCUCCCCUUACUCCUGUUGCUCCUGCAGGGUCUCUCUGUGCUGUAGGUGUGACAGUGUCGUGCCCCAGAGCUCUUUGGCUUCGUUGAAAUGUCAACAAUCCUGAAAUGGUUUGGACGGGAAGAUAAGGACAAAGAGGAGAAGGAAAAGGGCAAGGAAACAGAGAAGGGAGAAGAGG